AGCAGUAGCCACGGUAAUACGUAGGUCCCGAGCGUUGUCCGGAUUUAUUGGGCGUAAAGCGAGCGCAGGCGGUUAGAUAAGUCUGAAGUUAAAGGCUGUGGCUUAACCAUAGUACGUUUUGGAAACUGUUUAACUUGAGUGCAAGAGGGGAGAGUGGAAUUCCAUGUGUAGCGGUGAAAUGCGUAGAUAUAUGGAGGAACACCGGUGGCGAAAGCGGCUCUCUGGCUUGUAACUGACGCUGAGGCUCGAAAGCGUGGGGAGCAAACAGGAUUAGAUACCCCCGUAGUCCCUGUCUCUUAUACA
Molecule: ribosomal RNA, 303 nt
Filed under: uncultured bacterium
Lineage: Bacteria
Description: partial 16S ribosomal RNA
Rfam family: Bacterial small subunit ribosomal RNA
Source: RNAcentral